UCAUCACCAAAAUCAAUUCUACAAGUAGUAAAUGAAUUUCCAAAGUUCUUUUUCUCUUGAUCUUCAUCUCUUUUAUAUACCAUCAUCUCCUCUUAAAAGAUGUACCUGGCUCUAGAUAACAUAUCUUCUAUCAAGUUUCCUAUACUAGUAAUAUAUAUUAAAACAAGAUUCAAUGUUCUUACGUUGACUAUCCAUCUUAGCAUAGCAAUAUUUAGAGUAGUACAAUUAAUUAUCAUUUUAAGUAAUGGCAAAGAAUUUGUUUCCAAAACCAUACUUGCUCCAAUCAAAUAAUUUUUCUUAGCCUUUAGUUCGGUCAGUACUCCUCAAAGCUCUCUUUUAAUUUGUAGAUAAGUCCUUUGACUCUUU
This 366-nucleotide long non-coding RNA is filed under the name Physcomitrium patens. Its description in RNAcentral is "long non-coding RNA (PPAT_LNC007840)". Lineage: Eukaryota; Viridiplantae; Streptophyta; Bryopsida; Funariales; Funariaceae. The record is from RNAcentral.